GACGAACGCUGGCGGCGUGCUUAACACAUGCAAGUCGAACGGUGAAGGGGCCUGCUUUUGUGGGCCCUGGAUGAGUGGCGAACGGGUGAGUAACACGUGAGUAACCUGCCCCCUUCUUCUGGAUAACCGCAUGAAAGUGUGGCUAAUACGGGAUAUUCUGGGUCUGUCGCAUGAUGGGUCUGGGAAAGAUUGCGCCUUUGGGUGUUUUUGGUGGGGGAUGGGCUCGCGGCCUAUCAGCUUGUUGGUGGGGUGAUGGCCUACCAAGGCGGUGACGGGUAGCCGGCCUGAGAGAGUGGACGGUCACACUGGGACUGAGACACGGCCCAGACUCCUACGGGAGGCAGCAGUGGGGAAUAUUGCACAAUGGGCGCAAGCCUGAUGCAGCGACGCCGCGUGAGGGAUGGAGGCCUUCGGGUUGUAAACCUCUUUCGCAAGUGAAGCAGGCCUGCUCCUUGUGGGUGGGUUGACGGUAGCUGGAUAAGAAGCGCCGGCUAACUACGUG
This 502-nucleotide ribosomal RNA is filed under the name uncultured bacterium. Its description in RNAcentral is "partial 16S ribosomal RNA". It matches the Rfam family "Bacterial small subunit ribosomal RNA", at positions 28 to 507 of the family's 1533-position model. The record is from RNAcentral.